UUCAGUUGCUAACCUUUGACUGGUUUUGAAGAACCAGCUGAGUAUGUGGGAUGUGGAUACACACAGGUGGUCCUGGACAAAUCCCCAGCAUAUACCAAGAGAUAACUCUACUUGGGGAUCUGAAGACUGUGGACUCACUGUUUUCAGGAAUAUGUACUUAAAGCAGGUGAGGGGAAAAAUGUUAUCUUGUUUAAUUUGCGGUUCUGUUCUCAGAGUAAAUACUUGAGGCUAUGAAGACUGAAUUCACUGUUUUCAGAAAGAUGUACUUAGAGCAAGUGACGAAAUCUGAAUUAUAUUAAUGGUCAAAAGCAGCCCCAAAUUCAGAGUGUGUUUAGAAACAAGUAUAGUAAUGUCAAAUACAAAACUCAACACCUUAAGUGAGUCAUUACAAAGAAAUAAUUUAGCAAUUUACUUGUGACCUAGUGGGCGUCAUCAUUAUUAUUAUUACAGGCUUGGCAAAUUUUGGCUUUUCAAUUAUUCUAGAACUUAGUUAAUAUCUGUAUAGAUGCCUCUUGUGGCUUUAAAAUGUUGACAGCUGAUUAAACUUAUCUUUUCUGAGUAAUCAGUCUGAAAGAUUCUUUUUUAUUUAAUCUAGAAGUUUUAUUAAUUGAUUUUUUAAAAUAGGCUGACAGAUGCUAUUAUAUAGCCACAGGAAUAGCUAACAUUUUACAAAUUGACAAUAGUAAAUGUUGAUGAGAAUACAGAGCAACUGGAACUCUGAUACAUUACUGGAAGAAGUAUAAAUUAGCACAAUUAUUUGGAAUAGUGGCAUUACAAAUUAGAGCUAAUCAUCUGCCUAUUUCAUGGCUCACAACUAAUUAGUUCAUGUGAACACCAAAAAAAUACAAAAAUCUUGAUAACAGCGUUAGUCAUAAUAACUCUAACUGGAAACAAUCCAAGUGACCAAUAACAACAACAACAACAAAUAGGUAAACAAAUUGUGUGUGCUCAUUAAAUGAAAUAUCACACAACAAUAAAGAAUAGACUACUGAUACAUACCACCACACAGAUGACUCUCCCAGAGUAAUGAUGAACAAAAGAAAUCAGAGACAAAAUAGUAUAUACUAUAUGACUCCAUAUGAAGUUCAAGCAGAUACAAAACUAACCCAUGGUGUUAGAAAUCAAAGUAGUAAUUACUUUUGGAGAGGUUUUGACUGGAGAGGGACAUGGGGAA
RNAcentral lists this long non-coding RNA (1174 nucleotides) under Homo sapiens (human). Its description in RNAcentral is "HSALNT0075525". The record is from RNAcentral. Lineage: Eukaryota; Metazoa; Chordata; Mammalia; Primates; Hominidae.